Molecule: ribosomal RNA, 492 nt
Filed under: uncultured bacterium
Lineage: Bacteria
Description: partial 16S ribosomal RNA
Rfam family: Bacterial small subunit ribosomal RNA
Source: RNAcentral
AGUGAACGCUGGCGGUAGGCCUAACACAUGCAAGUCGAACGGCAGCACAGUAAGAGCUUGCUCUUACGGGUGGCGAGUGGCGGACGGGUGAGGAAUACAUCGGAAUCUACUUUUUCGUGGGGGAUAACGUAGGGAAACUUACGCUAAUACCGCAUACGACCUACGGGUGAAAGCAGGGGAUCUUCGGACCUUGCGCGAUUGAAUGAGCCGAUGUCGGAUUAGCUAGUUGGCGGGGUAAAGGCCCACCAAGGCGACGAUCCGUAGCGGGUCUGAGAGGAUGAUCAGCCACACUGGAACUGAGACACGGUCCAGACUCCUAUGGGAGGCAGCAGCGGGGAAUAUUGGACAAUGGGCGCAAGCCUGAUCCAGCCAUACCGCGUGGGUGAAGAAGGCCUUCGGGUUGUAAAGCCCUUUUGUUGGGAAAGAAAAGCAGCAGGUUAAUACCCCGCUGUUCUGACGGUACCCAAAGAAUAAGCACCGGCUAACUUCGUG